Molecule: non-coding RNA, 90 nt
Filed under: Anaerocolumna jejuensis
Lineage: Bacteria; Bacillati; Bacillota; Clostridia; Lachnospirales; Lachnospiraceae
Also listed under: 1 other name
Description: c-di-GMP sequence
Rfam family: c-di-GMP-I riboswitch aptamer
About the family: GEMM was predicted in a large-scale screen for bacterial structured RNA regulatory elements. Genes associated with GEMM are involved in a diverse array of functions, including chemotaxis regulation, signal transduction, secretion and chitin.
Source: RNAcentral
CCUACACGUAAGCAAUGAUCAUUAUGGUGACGGGGACGCAAAGCCAAGGGUCUAAGGUACUUAAUGUACUAUGAUAGUCUGGCUGCUAAA